UACGGAGGGAGCUAGCGUUGUUCGGAAUUACUGGGCGUAAAGCGCACGUAGGCGGCUUUGUAAGUUAGAGGUGAAAGCCCGGGGCUCAACUCCGGAACUGCCUUUAAGACUGCAUCGCUUGAAUCCAGGAGAGGUGAGUGGAAUUCCGAGUGUAGAGGUGAAAUUCGUAGAUAUUCGGAAGAACACCAGUGGCGAAGGCGGCUCACUGGACUGGUAUUGACGCUGAGGUGCGAAAUCG
Molecule: ribosomal RNA, 238 nt
Filed under: uncultured bacterium
Lineage: Bacteria
Description: partial 16S ribosomal RNA
Rfam family: Bacterial small subunit ribosomal RNA
Source: RNAcentral